RNAcentral lists this ribosomal RNA (253 nucleotides) under uncultured bacterium. RNAcentral's name for it is "partial 16S ribosomal RNA". It matches the Rfam family "Bacterial small subunit ribosomal RNA", at positions 524 to 776 of the family's 1533-position model. The record is from RNAcentral.
UACGUAGGGUGCAAGCGUUAAUCGGAAUUACUGGGCGUAAAGCGUGCGCAGGCGGUUUUGUAAGUCUGUCGUGAAAGCCCCGGGCUCAACCUGGGAAUUGCGAUGGAGACUGCAAGGCUUGAAUCUGGCAGAGGGGGGUAGAAUUCCACGUGUAGCAGUGAAAUGCGUAGAGAUGCGGAGGAACACCGAUGGCGAAGGCAGCCCCCUGGGCCGACACUGACGCUCAGGCACGAAAGCGUGGGGAGCAAACAGG